UACGUAGGGUGCGAGCGUUAAUCGGAAUUACUGGGCGUAAAGCGUGCGCAGGCGGUUUUGUAAGCCAGAUGUGAAAUCCCCGAGCUUAACUUGGGAACUGCAUUUGGGACUGCAAGGCUAGAGUACGGCAGAGGGGGGUAGAAUUCCUGGUGUAGCAGUGAAAUGCGUAGAUAUCAGGAGGAAUACCGACGGCGAAGGCAGCCCCCUGGGUCGAUACUGACGCUCAUGCACGAAAGCGUGGGGAGCAAACAGG
Molecule: ribosomal RNA, 253 nt
Filed under: uncultured bacterium
Lineage: Bacteria
Description: partial 16S ribosomal RNA
Rfam family: Bacterial small subunit ribosomal RNA
Source: RNAcentral